This 262-nucleotide long non-coding RNA is filed under the name Lathyrus oleraceus (garden pea). Its description in RNAcentral is "Pisum sativum (pea) long non-coding RNA (PSAT_LNC039019)". The record is from RNAcentral. Lineage: Eukaryota; Viridiplantae; Streptophyta; Magnoliopsida; Fabales; Fabaceae.
CAGGUCCCAGAACACGAGGCGGAAGGCAACAUUGACUUUUUCUUUUCUUUUUCUAUUCAUUUUCUUUUGUUUUUCUUUUGAACCAUUGGGGACAAUGUUUCAUUUAAGUAUGGGGGGGGAAAACCGUGUUCUUUCUAUCUUCCCUUUUUCAAGUAUGUACUUUUCUUUUCAUUGUUAUUUCCCUAUAAAUUUUUUUUUAUUAUAAUAUAGAUUUAUUUUAAGUUAAGUCCCUAGUGUGAAAAAUUUCUAUUAUCUAUUCCCU